GUCCCUGUAGCACAAUGGAUAGCGCAUUGGACCUCUAAUCCAAAAGUCGUGGGUUCGGAUCCCACCUAGUCAGCGACA
Molecule: transfer RNA, 78 nt
Filed under: Trichonephila clavata
Lineage: Eukaryota; Metazoa; Arthropoda; Arachnida; Araneae; Nephilidae
Description: tRNA-Arg
Rfam family: tRNA (bases 7-66)
About the family: Transfer RNA (tRNA) molecules are approximately 80 nucleotides in length. Their secondary structure includes four short double-helical elements and three loops (D, anti-codon, and T loops).
Source: RNAcentral